Non-coding RNA from Salvia hispanica, 444 nucleotides. Lineage: Eukaryota; Viridiplantae; Streptophyta; Magnoliopsida; Lamiales; Lamiaceae. The record is from RefSeq and is a predicted model, not a curated record.
CACCCGGACUUGCAAAACUGAAAUUGUUAAUGACUUGUAACCUAAAUCAAAGCCGAAAAUGGGGAGGCCUUGAAAGGAAUCAAUAGCUUCUAUGUCGCACAGUGGUAUCACAAGUGUUCUAGGGAGGAGAGGUAGGGGAAUAGGAAGAGGAAGAGGGAGGACUCAACCUGUGGAAGGUCUUGGCUCGAUUCCUACUCAGCAAAGCGGCACAUGAUUGAGGACUCAACCAGUGAACUUUGUUUUGUCAUUCUGUACUUUUGUUUUGUCAUUGUGUAAUGUGUUGGUUCCAUUGGGUAUUUGGAAACAAUUUGUAGGUUUAUGUAAUUCGAAUUGUGUUAAGUAUUUGGCUAAGUGGUCAGAUGAUGGAGUUUAAACAAUCUUUAGGCCUGUGUAAUGUUUUGUAAACAAUGGAUAUUUUAUCCAAGUUCGCUUGUGCAAUGUUAA